AGGUUGUAGAAAGGUGUUCACAGAAGUUGGAGGCUACGACCAGAAGUGCCACAAGCUCUGAGGUUCACAGUGCUCCAAGAGAAGUUGGUAUGGCUGUCCCCUGGUCAUCUCCAGAAUAUCACUUGCCAGUAUCUGAUUUCUACCUCUGUGUUGGGAGGAUGAAGGUCAAAGCCAUUGAGUGCAAAGGGCUGAAGAGCAAACAUCUUUCUCACAAGCUUUUUCCGUACCCAUUCCACAGCUGAAUCUCUUGGGCAGAGCAAGAACAUGUACCUGUGCCCCUUAUAACAUGGCCUUGGGCAGUAGAAAGGUUUAUACAUCCCAUAUGGAACUUUAUGACUUCAGAUCUGCUUCCCAGCUUUGCCUGAAGUUGUAUCUGUAGAAUAGCUGUAGAGCUUAUUCCUCCAUGUGUGUCAGUCAGAAGACUCUCUGGUACUGAGGAAUUCCCAGCUGAGAUGUGAUUAGCAGAUAUUUUGCAAAAUGCAGACUUAACUCGUCAAUACAGUAGUGGAUGGUGACAAAUGUCUUAAUAUUUCAAGAUCCUUUUUAUAAAACAGUGGAUGUAACUUUUUAGAGGAGAUACUGUACUCUGUUAAGAAGCCACCA
Non-coding RNA from Coturnix japonica (Japanese quail), 603 nucleotides. NCBI's taxonomy places the organism in Eukaryota, Metazoa, Chordata, Aves, Galliformes, Phasianidae. The record is from RefSeq and is a predicted model, not a curated record.